GUUUAGGGGUGGGGGCCAAUAGUUGUUUUUUUGUUGUUGUUUUUUUACAGUGAGCAGCCACAGGCUGCUCACUGUUUAGUGGACAUGCCCCUACUCGCGGUAUAGCGAGUAGGGGCAUUUGGGAGAUUUAAAUCUCCCUUGUGCUAUUAUGGGGGUCAUAUUGAUCCCCAUAGAGUGAGAGGGGGACCUGGGGGGGGGCUUAUGAAGUGGUGGGGAGCACAGUUCCCUGCUACUUCUAUCUUUACAUAUUACAAGGAGGGAGCUGCACGCCGGUAGCUCCCUCCUUGUAAUAACCUGCACGAACAAACAUACACUGAUACAUUGUGUUUGUUUGUUCGGCUGAUAUUUCUAUUCACUCAUUCGUCUGUCUGAUGAAUGAGUGAAUAGAUGAAAUUCCCGUUCGCAUGUCCAGGUGUUUCACUGGGCAUGUGCGGGAAUCUCACAGUCUGCCUAGUGUGGGCUGAUGACGUGUCCCACAGGGACUUCACCUACCCACACAAAGAUGGCUGCGCCCUGAAUAUAGAUCGGGGCAGAAAAUAAGGAUUUAAAAAUAGGUAAUGUGGGGGGCUUAGGGGCAUUUGGGGGUGACUAGUGAG
This 596-nucleotide long non-coding RNA is filed under the name Pelobates cultripes (western spadefoot toad). The record is from RNAcentral. Lineage: Eukaryota; Metazoa; Chordata; Amphibia; Anura; Pelobatidae.